This 59-nucleotide non-coding RNA is filed under the name Thermobrachium celere. Its description in RNAcentral is "Fluoride sequence". It matches the Rfam family "Fluoride riboswitch aptamer (crcB RNA motif)". RNAcentral also lists the same sequence under 1 other name. Lineage: Bacteria; Bacillati; Bacillota; Clostridia; Eubacteriales; Clostridiaceae. The record is from RNAcentral.
AAGUUAAUAGGCGAUGGAGUUCGCCUAAAUGCUGAUAAGCUAAUGACUCCUACAAAUGU